This 4807-nucleotide long non-coding RNA is filed under the name Brassica rapa (field mustard). RNAcentral describes it as "long non-coding RNA (BRAP_LNC005754)". The record is from RNAcentral. Lineage: Eukaryota; Viridiplantae; Streptophyta; Magnoliopsida; Brassicales; Brassicaceae.
AAAUAUAUGAAAGGUAGUGAGCUUUUGGAUUAUUUAUGAGAAUCUAUACUAUUAAAAGGGAAUGAUUGUUAAAAAAUCUACCUAUAAAAGGUUGUUGCACCUAUUCAUUAACUAUUCAUUAUAUUUGGGAUUACCUUUAUUUUUUCUAACAAUCAAAACAAUAGGGAAAACUGUUUUUUUAGAGCAAAAAAAUGGUAACUAUGUCCUUUUAGACUAAUCUAUAUUUUGUGUCAUAUUUUCCUAUAACAUCCUUUAAUAUUUUUGAAAAUAAAUUUAAUAAAUAGUUUUACAAACAAAAUUUUUUUGGAAAAAUAGUAACUUUUGAUAAAAUACCUAUAUGAACUUAGUGAUAUUUUUUCCAGUUAUAAAAAAGUAAAAAUUAUAAAUUUCAUAUUAUGUUCUAAAUAAAGUAGAAAUGACAUUCUACGAAGUAGAAAACGAAAUCCACUUUUUUCAUUGAAUCUACAAUGUUUAGAAUACGUGAUCUACGUAAAUAGGAGUAUUCUAAAAAUAUUUAGAAUACACAUUCCGCGCUUAACCUAUCGUUCUAAAAUCUUUAGAAAUCAAAAUCUACACAUUAAUAUAAAUCUAAAACACGUAGAAACCUACUUCUACAGAUUUACUAUAAAUCUAAAACAUGUAAAAAUCAAAAUCUAAACAUUACUAUAAUUCUAAAAAACUGUAGAAACCGAUUUCUACAUAUUAGUUGUAUUCUACGGAUAAGAAAUCAGUUCCUAAAAAUAUGGAAACAAAAUAUUUGGGAAUAUUCACUUUUAUAUUUUGAAAAAAAAAUCGAUUUUUUUUAAAAAAAAUAAAAAAACGAAAAAGGAACAAAAAAUAAAAAAAAAACGAAAAAGGAAUAAAAAAAUUACAAUUUUAAGGGCAUUACUGCCAUUUUGAAAAAAAUUAGUCUAAUGGGACAUAAAGUAGUAUAGAUUAGUAUAAAGGGACAUAGUUACCAUUUUUUUGCUCUAAAAAAACAAUUUUCCCAACAAUAAAUACAUGAUAUACUUUUUGGAAAUAUCGUUGGCUUGUUUUCAAUAUUAUUUGUUCUGCCAUUGUCAUUUAUUUAAUCAUCUAAAAAUUAUUAAAUAUAUAUUUGGUACAGUAAUAUCAGUGAAAUAUAUGUAUCUCAUUAAUAACAUGUUAAUGUGCAAUAUUCAAAGCAUAUUAUUCAAUUUAUGUUCCUUAUAUAUGUAACAUAAUUUAUUGACCGAUUGAGCAUAUAUUCAUAUUUUAAUUUUAAUCACUUUUCGAUCAUGUUAUUAAAAUGUAAAAUAUUAGAAUUUACAUUUUAUACAAUUAUAAAAUUAUUGGCCUUCUUAUCUGUAUUUAUACUAAAUUUUAUACAAUUAUAAUUUUUUAGGUUUUAUCAGAUUUUUAAUAAAUCAGUUUUAUUAAAUCCGAAUUUUGUAAAAACCUAUCAGUUGAUAGAACCUCUGAUGGAAUGCAACAUAAAGAACAUAGGGCAAUACAGAUUAUAUAUGGCUAUCGGGUUUAUCAGUUCGAACACGGAUCAAGAUCGGAUAAAAACACUAUUUAUAUCUUAAUUCGUCUAUAAACCACAAAUGUACCCCCACUUAAAGGAGUUAAACAAUUUGUAAAAGUAUAAUACUUUUUUGCACUAUUUAAAUGUAGAUGGACUGUUAGUCUUUAGCAUUUGGUUUUGGUUUGAGUAUUUUGAGUUUUGGUGUUUUUGUUCUCGAAAUUUAAGAUAAUUAUUUACAAAGUUUAGUUUGGUUUGGUUUGGUUUUAGUUGGGUUGUUUUAUUUUUAUUUAUUUGGUCAUUAGCAAAGUUGAGAAUCACCUAAUAUGAAAAAAAAAUUGGGUCCAAUUAAGUUAUGGUUUGAUUCCGGUUUUUUAGAUAAUUACGAAUUUGCAGAUAAAUUUGGAUAAUUUGGGAUUAUCAGUUUAAAUAUCAUGUAAUUUUGGUUCUUCGGAUGAAAAUAUCAGAUAAUUCAAAUAGUUUUAAUAUUUUAAGGAUUUUUUUGGAGGAAGGGGGGGGGGGAUAAUUUGGUUAUUUUUAAAGUAUUUGGUUAUUUAGAAAUUAAAUGUAAUUAAUAUUAGUGAGUAUAGAAUUGGUAUUUUAAAAUUUCACUUACCCUUGUGGUUCUCCGUUACUUAUGAAAUUCAGUUUAUUUGUAGUUUCAGGAUUUUCAGUUUGGUACAAUUUAGUUUGUGGUUCUGAAUAAAUGUGAUCAAAUCUAUACAAUAUAUUAUAUAGAAAUACAUUUAAAAUAUUUAAAAAAAAAAUUCAAAAACAAACCUGCGCUUUCCAAACGCGGAUCAAAAUCUAGUGGAGAAUUAUAAAUCAUAAAUGUUAAAUUGCACAUUAACUAAAUACCUUUCAAAAUCUAUCUGUUUAAAAUAUUUUAAAUAUUUGUAGAUUUCAAAAGAUAUAUUUUAAACUGAAUAUUAUAUAGAUUUUAGAAGAUCUUAGAGUUAUAAUUGGUUUCCAAAUUUCUUUAUCUGCCAAUAAAUUUUGUUUAUGUAAGUAUACUUGAUGAUAACUUUUACAUAUUUAAUAAUAAAAUUGCAUGUCAAAAAACAUGCAUAAAUAUUUGCCAAUAUGGAUUUUGGCUCGAGUUAUCCCACCACUGGUUCAAGACCAACCUUUCUUAAUAAUCCUAUGGCGUAAAACAUUUUUUUUCAAAAUUGAACUAGAAACACAAUAAAACCAGGGCAAUGUUUUACCACUAGCCAACUAUUCUACCAUAUAUAAGUGCAAGAUGCAAACACAAUAAGGUAGUGCAGAAGAUAAAUCAAGAGACAAAUACACAAGCAAACACCAAUGUUUUUAUUAGAAUUUCCUUUAAACAAUUUUUACAAGACUUGCUUAUUCAGCUUUUAUACGUCUAGUGUUAACACCCUAACACACGCUACUGAAUAAUUCCUAAGCUACCUGCUUAUGUCUCUUCUCCGUCAAGUACUUCAGCCACUGCUUCAGCACGACCCAAGAACACUUCCAAGAGCUUUUCUCUCUCUAUAAGAUCAGCCUUCGUGUCUCUGUCUCUAUACAGACGACUUCAUAGCUAUCUUAUAGUUAUUCUCCAUGUUCCCGAAACCCUAAUCUCCAAGGCAACAUGUAUGGACAUCUUCCAUAACAAUAAGUGCAACUUUCCUUUUCUUGGAAUGCACUUACUCCUCUUUCUUUAAGUCAUAAAUUUGCUCCUCAAGUUUAUUCAUCUUUCCAUAUCUCCAAGAUAUUGUUGACCUAAGCUUGAGAUAACUUGGGAUAUAAGCUAUUCUAAUGAGAUUAGGAUUAGAAUAGAUCGAGAGUUAUCUAUAAGAUAUGUUUCCUAUUGAGAAUAGGAAUAUAUAAGUGUUAUAUAAGGAGAUGCUAAUUGUGUGGUAUAACUUGUGAGUUUGAGUUUGAGAAAGCUAUUAAUAAAGUGAGUACUUUAUAUUUGCUUGUGUUAUAUAUUCUUGGAUAUUGGUUCUUACGAUUCAAUAGAUACUCCCUUGCUUUCCAAGUCUACACGACUUCAGCUCAGCAUCUUGAUUCCACAUGGACUUCACCACUCACUACGACGUCUGCUUCAGCAACUACGUCAACGACUACUUCAAGGGCAUACAUCUUACAUCUUCACCAUAUUCAGUAGUUUUUCUUUCAACUCGAUCUCCUAAUUUUCAAAAUCUCAUAAUAAUUAGUCCCUAAUUCAAAAGUACAUUUUGUUCGCACAUAUCAUUGAAAUUAUAGUAUCCUCGAGAUCGCACAUGGAGGCAAUGAAAUGGGUAUUACAUACAUUGCCUUUUGAUAUAAUAGUAAAAAGAAAGAAGACGAAAUAUAUGAUAAGAGUUUAAGAGGCAGGGUUUAUAUGAUUUCGAUAAAUUGUUACUGGAAGAUAAACCAAAUUGCUCGGAAACAGUUUAGAGAAAAAGAUUAGAAUCAAGCUUCAUAGACUUUGCAUUCCUCAUCGGCUGGGUUUGUCUUACAGAAAUCUUCCAAAGGGUCUCCGCUUCCAGCAGCUACUUCUCCCGGCCACUUGGCAGCCACUAGGUGAGCCAAAUCCACUACUCUUUGGCUAUAUCAUUAAAUUAUAUAUGACAAUUUAGUCAUUAAAUGUUUCAAACUCUAAUUACAUGUAGAAAGAGAAUUUUUAUAUAAAAAUGUUAAGCAGGUAAAAAGAACUUCUUAGGAGACAUAAUGGCAAACUGAUGUAGUGGUGAAGUCGAAAUACAUUCUGUGGACACAUCCUUUCGAGAAACUUAAAUGAAAUCCGGCAAUAAUAAUAUGUAAAAUGCUGUAUCAUCGGAAAAAUAAAAUUUUCUUUAAAAUCUGAAGAUCAUGCUUUCUGUAAGCUAACGCAUUAAAUCAACUUCCAGUUAUUUAAAAGAAAACCAAAAUUCUAAAAAGUGCCAAAAUUACGUUAUCGUGCAUGUAUGUUAAAAAAGUCACAUUUCUAAAAAAAAAAAUUGUUUGAAAAAAUAAAACUCGUGGGUUCCUUUCUAAAGAAAUCAUUGAAAUAAAGGCAAAAUGAAAAAAAAAUAUAAUGUAAACCAUAUGAAUUGAUUUAAUCUUAUGAAUGUAUUAUCUUUGUACCUGUAACCCCACUCGUUGUCGUACCAGGCGACCACCUUGACCAUAUCAUCACCCAUGACCAUUGUGAGGGAAGAGUCAAUGGUGGUUGAGACAUCAGAGCACCUGAAGUCACAAGAGACAAGUGGCGUGUCGCAAACCUCUAAAACGCCCUUGAGCGGUCCAGCGGCCGCUUUUCUGAAGGCCUCGUUAACGUCUUCAGCAGUCAAACCUUUCUUCUCAACGUUUAUAACAAGGUCAACCACAGAGACGUUUGGGGUCGGCACA